RNAcentral lists this non-coding RNA (45 nucleotides) under Schistosoma margrebowiei. The record is from RNAcentral. Lineage: Eukaryota; Metazoa; Platyhelminthes; Trematoda; Strigeidida; Schistosomatidae.
AUCCAGCUGACGAGUCCCAAAUAGGACGAAACGCGGACCUUGGAU